CACGUAGGCUGUUGUGUAAGUCAGGGGUGAAAUCCCACGGCUCAACCGUGGAACUGCCUUUGAUACUGCACGACUUGAAUCCGGGAGAGGGUGGCGGAAUUCCAGGUGUAGGAGUGAAAUCCGUAGAUAUCUGGAGGAACAUCAGUGGCGAAGGCGGCCACCUGGACCGGUAUUGACGCUGAGGUGCGAAAGCGUGGGGAGCAAACA
Molecule: ribosomal RNA, 207 nt
Filed under: uncultured bacterium
Lineage: Bacteria
Description: partial 16S ribosomal RNA
Rfam family: Bacterial small subunit ribosomal RNA
Source: RNAcentral